Molecule: ribosomal RNA, 748 nt
Filed under: Salmonella enterica subsp. diarizonae
Lineage: Bacteria; Pseudomonadati; Pseudomonadota; Gammaproteobacteria; Enterobacterales; Enterobacteriaceae
Description: partial 23S ribosomal RNA
Rfam family: Bacterial large subunit ribosomal RNA
Source: RNAcentral
AACAGAACCUGAAACCGUGUACGUACAAGCAGUGGGAGCCCCACCACUAAGCCAGUGGUGAACUCCACAUACGCAUCCUUUGCGGAAGAUGCGGUUAACGGAGCGAAAGCGACGUUCAACCUCAGAAGAAGCAGAGGGGGCUUAGUGGUGGGGUGACUGCGUACCUUUUGUAUAAUGGGUCAGCGACUUAUAUUCUGUAGCAAGGUUAACCGCAUAGGGGAGCCGAAGGGAAACCGAGUCUUAAUUGGGCGUUAAGUUGCAGGGUAUAGACCCGAAACCCGGUGAUCUAGCCAUGGGCAGGUUGAAGGUUGGGUAACACUAACUGGAGGACCGAACCGACUAAUGUUGAAAAAUUAGCGGAUGACCUGUGGCUGGGGGUGAAAGGCCAAUCAAACCGGGAGAUAGCUGGUUCUCCCCGAAAGCUAUUUAGGUAGCGCCUCGUGAACUCAUCUCCGGGGGUAGAGCACUGUUUCGGCUAGGGGGCCAUCCCGGCUUACCAACCCGAUGCAAACUGCGAAUACCGGAGAAUGUUAUCACGGGAGACACACGGCGGGUGCUAACGUCCGUCGUGAAGAGGGAAACAACCCAGACCGCCAGCUAAGGUCCCAAAGUCAUGGUUAAGUGGGAAACGAUGUGGGAAGGCCCAGACAGCCAGGAUGUUGGCUUAGAAGCAGCCAUCAUUUAAAGAAAGCGUAAUAGCUCACUGGUCGAGUCGGCCUGCGCGGAAGAUGUAACGGGGCUAAACCAU